UUACGGCCACAUCACGUUGAAAUACUGGUUUCCGUACGAUCACUGAAGUUAAGCAAUGUCUAGCCUGAUCAGUACUUAGAUCGGUGACCGCUUGGGAAUAGCAGGUGCUGUAAG
This is a non-coding RNA of Acanthosepion pharaonis, 114 nucleotides long. NCBI's taxonomy places the organism in Eukaryota, Metazoa, Mollusca, Cephalopoda, Sepiida, Sepiidae. The record is from the annotation of a GenBank genome assembly.